This 238-nucleotide ribosomal RNA is filed under the name uncultured bacterium. RNAcentral describes it as "partial 16S ribosomal RNA". It matches the Rfam family "Bacterial small subunit ribosomal RNA", at positions 99 to 334 of the family's 1533-position model. The record is from RNAcentral.
CGUCCGGGUGAGUAACGCGUGGGUAAUCUACCCUUUGGUGGGGAAUAACCAAUCGAAAGGUUGGCUAAUACCGCAUAAUGCGCUUUCGCGAUAUCGUGGAAGUUGUUAAAGUAUUUAUAUACCAAAGGAUGAGCCUGCGUCUGAUUAGCUUGUUGGUGGGGUAAUGGCCUACCAAGGCUUCGAUCAGUAGCUGGUCUGAGAGGACGGCCAGCCACAAUGGCACUGAAAUACGGGCCAU